Small nuclear RNA from Antechinus flavipes (yellow-footed antechinus), 102 nucleotides. Lineage: Eukaryota; Metazoa; Chordata; Mammalia; Dasyuromorphia; Dasyuridae. The record is from RefSeq and is a predicted model, not a curated record.
GUUCUGGCUUCAGCAGCACAUAUAUUAAAAUUGUAAAGAUAAAGAAAUUAGCAUGGCCCACGAACAAGGUUGAUUCAAAUUUGUGGAAUUCCCUAAUUUUUU